UAUGGCGACCGGCGCACGGGUGAGUAACGCGUAUCAACCUGCCCUUUACUAUGGGACAGCCCGUCGAAAGGCGGAUUAAUACCGUAUGUUGUCAUGUUGAUGCAUAUUUUCAUGACCAAAGGCUUCGGCCGGUAAAGGAUGGGGAUGCGUCUGAUUAGCUUGCCGGCGGGGUAACGGCCCACCGGGGCGACGAUCAGUAGGGGUUCUGAGAGGAAGGUCCCCCACAUUGGAACUGAGACACGGUCCAAACUCCUACGGAAGGCAGCAG
This 268-nucleotide ribosomal RNA is filed under the name uncultured bacterium. RNAcentral's name for it is "partial 16S ribosomal RNA". It matches the Rfam family "Bacterial small subunit ribosomal RNA", at positions 87 to 354 of the family's 1533-position model. The record is from RNAcentral.